Drosophila biarmipes is the source of this 2691-nucleotide long non-coding RNA. RefSeq lists it as uncharacterized. NCBI's taxonomy places the organism in Eukaryota, Metazoa, Arthropoda, Insecta, Diptera, Drosophilidae. The transcript is spliced from 3 exons. The record is from RefSeq and is a predicted model, not a curated record.
AACUCGAAUGAUUCUACAAGGCACUACAAUACAACCAUACAUAUAUAGUACAGGGAACACGUCAAGGAUAACGAACGCAGAAAGGCACGAACCAAGGUCUCCAAGGAUUAGUUUACUACUAAGUGGAAACACGCAGCAGCAGUCUGCCGAAGGAAGGGGGAAGUCGGCACAGCUAAGAGAGCUGUACCGAAAGAGGCCAAGCAUCCCGGGGCAUAAUGCCCAGACGAGGAGACGGGAUCGCCGGCCGGAUCGGGGUCCAAACCAGGAAACACAGCUUCAGGAGUCUGAAAGGGCAAUCAUGGUCAACAAAGGCAACCUGCCAAGAGAAAAUUAACUGAUGAGCACAUACAAGGAGUCGGGUGGGAGAUCAGAGUACUUACGAAGUGGCAAGGACGAGUGGAAACGCCGGGCUGAGGGGUAAAAAAAACUAAACUCCGGCCGACACGUGCACGGGCAUAAACAAUUUGAAAAAAACACCAUAUAACAGGGAAGGGUGCGCCUCAAUAGGCGGUCGAUUGGCACUGGAUGAUGGUGCGAUCGAUUGGCACAAGAAAAGAAAAUGGAAAUAUCGGUGAUGAUAAACAUCGCGGCGAACAAGUGGCAACGCCGCACCUGCGAUAUCGAUAUCGUGAUCAGGCCCCCUGGGUAUCGAUAGCCGAUUAGUAUCGGUGCCAUGCGGAGGACGACCAGCGCUGUGGAAACGUAACAGGGUAAAACCUUCGAGGGAACGUCGAGGGAGCAACGAAGGAGCGCCGAGGUGAUCGGGACGAGAUGCGCCAUGACUCAAGGGCUAGGAUACACAAGGGAACGCCGCAGAGUGGGAGCGCUGAUUUUUCUUAAAUCUUUCCUGAAGGGGUGAAUGUGAGGAGUUGAAUAACACCACACAAAUCCCAGCAGCAGAUGGCCGGCUGCUCACCAGGUACGCGGCGAAGAGCGUUUGGAGAACGUGAGAGUUUGGAGAUCAAGAACGGAGAACGUGGGGGUUUGGAGAUCAAGGACGAAGAACGUGAGAGUUUGGAGAUCAAGGACGGAGAACGUGAGAGUUUGGAGAGUAAGAGAUUUUGGAGAGCAAGUGAGUUUGGAGAGGGUUUGGAGAGCAACAGAGUUUGGAGACCAAGGAUGGAGAAAGAGAGAGAGGAUACUUGGCGAGAAGAGCGAGGGUGCCGUGUGCAAAAGGAAGUAACGGGACGCCGCCGGAUUUUGGACGCGGCCGUGAACAUCAGGCUGGACAUCGGCGGGAAAAAGCGCAUGAAGGACAAAAGGGUCAAACUGGAGCUAUGGACUUUGGACUCGGUGUGGAGAGUUUCGGCGGGCCGUCCGCAAAAGGGGAAUAACGGUUCCCGGAGGCCCUAUAUAAGCCCGCAGUACGCUGGCAGGGGGAUCAGUCAGUCGAUUACGGUCAGUCGCUUACGGUCAGUCGAGGAGUUAAGACAAGCAGUCGAUCAAAUACCGAGUAAACAUAAACCCAACCAAGUAAACUACGAGGGAGCCACCACAAGGCGAGUCGUCGAAAGCAGCACCGUGGGAGCCUACAAGGAGCAAGAUUGACACGUCGAGACGUUCGGGAUCAGGAGUCAGACUGAAACACAGGUGGCUGAGGUCUGAAGGGGCACCACACGGCUAAGUCAAGGCGGUCUGCUUAUUUUUGCCAACGAGGUCCUGGCGUUACGCCUGGAGGAUCUACCAGACUGGGAGCAGUGAAGGCCGGCGACAAGAAAUCGUGAGCUCGGGGGUAAGCCUGUCAAACCCCAUUGUACCUCGCUCCAAGCACUACAUAGGCGUGUCCCGGCGGGAGCCCCGUGCGCCAAGUGGAGUUGAGCAAGUCCUGGCGCGACGAGCCCGAAGGGAGAGAAGUCCCGGGUAUGCCUACGAACCCAACACAGAAGUCCACCAGCCAGCUGGCACGGAGAAUCGAGCCCGCAGGAACGGCACAGACAGUACGCGAAAGGGUGAGGCUAGGGUGGAACGUUCGUUUAUACCAGGCGUAGAAGCGAAGUGAAAAGCGAGGCUGCUUCCUUUCAGAUCCUGGAAAACUCGUCAGUCUGUUCACUCUAGUCUAAGAACGGUGACGCUACCCUUAGCCCGCACGGCUGACCCCAUAACGAGUCUGAAUCGUGGCCGAGCAGUCACCGAGCCAAACGCGUCAGGAACAAGCAGCGGCGGAGACAGCGAGACAAGCAAAUUAUAAAGCCGACCGCAGUUAUACCCGCAAUAAACCCACUACGAACCCGUGAAUUCUGUGCUUUCCCAAUUAACUACUGGGCGGUUACGUUUAUACAAAUUUGGUGGGACGAACACACACAAUCUACUGAGCGAGCCGCACGAAUCUCGUAGCGAACAGAAAGCAAACAAAUCAGUUCGUUACAUCUGGUGCAGUGAAAGCAAAAUAAACAUAAUGGGAAAAAAGUGGAUUUACCGCCUUAAGAAGGAGGUCUUCGCCCAGGUCGCACAAAGACUUAAUGACGCCCUGGACGGCAGAUUAAAGGACAUGAGGAAGAUAUUGUCGGAGUAUUACUCCGAGACAGAGAAUGACCCACAACUUGCCGACAUCUGGGCUGAGCUGGAAGCUGUGUAUUACGCUAACGAACGCUGUAGGGGAUAACCUAGUAGCAAGCUUGAGCGUCGACAACUUGCAAAGGGAGGCUUACAGGAGAGAGUCGAGCCAGGACAGGAAGACAACAGUGCUGACCU